RNAcentral lists this ribosomal RNA (253 nucleotides) under uncultured bacterium. Its description in RNAcentral is "partial 16S ribosomal RNA". It matches the Rfam family "Bacterial small subunit ribosomal RNA", at positions 524 to 776 of the family's 1533-position model. The record is from RNAcentral.
UACGUAGGGUGCGAGCGUUGUCCGGAAUUAUUGGGCGUAAAGAGCUCGUAGGCGGUUUGUUGCGUCGGCCGUGAAAACCUGCAGCUUAACUGUGGGCCUGCGGCCGAUACGGGCAGACUUGAGUUCGGUAGGGGAGACUGGAAUUCCUGGUGUAGCGGUGAAAUGCGUAGAUAUCUGGAGGAACACCGGUGGCGAAGGCGGCAUCCUGGACCGACACUGACGCUGAGGAGCGAAAGCCAGGGGAGCAAACGGG